RNAcentral lists this long non-coding RNA (422 nucleotides) under Trifolium pratense (red clover). Its description in RNAcentral is "long non-coding RNA (TPRA_LNC012886)". Lineage: Eukaryota; Viridiplantae; Streptophyta; Magnoliopsida; Fabales; Fabaceae. The record is from RNAcentral.
GUCCAAGAGCAUAACCCAACUAUCUAAACCACUUGUAAUUUUUGAAAUGACUUAUACAUUGUCCACCAUAUAAUGCUUUCUGGAAAUAACCUCCCUUUGUGAUCCCACUGAGAAUUUGAUGCUGCCCAUGACCCUCCAACAAUAUAUAACAAAUAGGGUAAUUCCUCAUGUCCAUCCCCAAUUGGAAAAGUUAGCACCAAGUUUUCAAAUAUACCCCAUAAUUCUAUUAUCCGACCUAUAUAACAAAUUCAACUCCCUCUCCUCGUAACUAACUCACCCGCUUCUCAAAUUUUCCUCUUCGAAUGACUCUAAGUGGACCUUGGACCAUUGGGACUACAAGGACAUACAAAAGGUAACUACCGGAAACCUUAUCAGUAAGCUAAUCAAACACAAGCACACUCCACUUUGCAUUUGCAAAAUCA